GGGGAGAGAGUCCAUCCAUUGUUUCAGAGCUAUGCUGGAAACAGCAUAGCAAGUUGAAAUAAGGCUAGUCCGUUAUCAACUUGAAAAAGUGGCACCGAGUCGGUGCUUUUUUU
Molecule: small RNA, 113 nt
Filed under: Vector pAAVsc_gSerpina1d
Description: Serpina1d-gRNA1
Rfam family: Trans-activating crRNA (bases 22-113)
About the family: RNA-guided Streptococcus pyogenes Cas9 (SpCas9) is a sequence-specific DNA endonuclease, the Trans-activating CRISPR RNA form an hybrid with the crRNA (crRNA/tracrRNA).
Source: RNAcentral